This 479-nucleotide ribosomal RNA is filed under the name uncultured bacterium. RNAcentral's name for it is "bacterial SSU rRNA". It matches the Rfam family "Bacterial small subunit ribosomal RNA", at positions 30 to 502 of the family's 1533-position model. The record is from RNAcentral.
AUUGAACGCUGGCGGCAUGCUUUACACAUGCAAGUCGAACGGCAGCACAGGGAGCUUGCUCCCGGGUGGCGAGUGGCGCACGGGUGAGUAGUACAUCGGAACGUGUCCUGUUGUGGGGGAUAACUGCUCGAAAGGGUGGCUAAUACCGCAUGAGACCUGAGGGUGAAAGCGGGGGAUCGCAAGACCUCGCGCAAUUGGAGCGGCCGAUGCCCGAUUAGCUAGUUGGUGAGGUAAAGGCUCACCAAGGCGACGAUCGGUAGCUGGUCUGAGAGGACGACCAGCCACACUGGGACUGAGACACGGCCCAGACUCCUACGGGAGGCAGCAGUGGGGAAUUUUGGACAAUGGGGGCAACCCUGAUCCAGCCAUGCCGCGUGCAGGAUGAAGGCCUUCGGGUUGUAAACUGCUUUGUCAGGCGAAAGGACCGUGUUAAUACCAUGGUCUGCUGACGGUACCUGAAGAAUAAGCACCGGCUAACU